Molecule: ribosomal RNA, 932 nt
Filed under: uncultured bacterium
Lineage: Bacteria
Description: bacterial SSU rRNA
Rfam family: Bacterial small subunit ribosomal RNA
Source: RNAcentral
GAGUUUGAUCCUGGCUCAGGAUGAACGCUAGCUACAGGCUUAACACAUGCAAGUCGAGGGGAAACGACAUCGAAAGCUUGCUUUUGAUGGGCGUCGACCGGCGCACGGGUGAGUAACGCGUAUCCAACCUGCCCACCACUUGGGGAUAACCUUGCGAAAGUAAGACUAAUACCCAAUGAUAUCUCUAGAAGAACUCCUGAAAGAGAUUAAAGAUUUAUCGGUGAUGGAUGGGGAUGCGUCUGAUUAGCUUGUUGGCGGGGUAACGGCCCACCAAGGCAACGAUCAGUAGGGGUUCUGAGAGGAAGGUCCCCCACAUUGGAACUGAGACACGGUCCAAACUCCUACGGGAGGCAGCAGUGAGGAAUAUUGGUCAAUGGACGAGAGUCUGAACCAGCCAAGUAGCGUGCAGGAUGACGGCCCUAUGGGUUGUAAACUGCUUUUAUAAGGGAAUAAAGUGAGUCUCGUGAGACUUUUUGCAUGUACCUUAUGAAUAAGGACCGGCUAAUUCCGUGCCAGCAGCCGCGGUAAUACGGAAGGUCCGGGCGUUAUCCGGAUUUAUUGGGUUUAAAGGGAGCGUAGGCCGGAGAUUAAGCGUGUUGUGAAAUGUAGACGCUCAACGUCUGCACUGCAGCGCGAACUGGUUUCCUUGAGUACGCACAAAGUGGGCGGAAUUCGUGGUGUAGCGGUGAAAUGCUUAGAUAUCACGAAGAACUCCGAUUGCGAAGGCAGCUCACUGGAGCGCAACUGACGCUGAAGCUCGAAAGUGCGGGUAUCGAACAGGAUUAGAUACCCUGGUAGUCCGCACGGUAAACGAUGGAUGCCCGCUGUUGGUCUGAAUAGGUCAGCGGCCAAGCGAAAGCAUUAAGCAUCCCACCUGGGGAGUACGCCGGCAACGGUGAAACUCAAAGGAAUUGACGGAAGGGCGAAUUCCA